This 441-nucleotide ribosomal RNA is filed under the name uncultured bacterium. RNAcentral's name for it is "partial 16S ribosomal RNA". It matches the Rfam family "Bacterial small subunit ribosomal RNA", at positions 338 to 795 of the family's 1533-position model. The record is from RNAcentral.
CCUACGGGUGGCAGCAGUGGGGAAUAUUGCACAAUGGGGGGAACCCUGAUGCAGCGACGCCGCGUGAGUGAAGAAGUAUUUCGGUAUGUAAAGCUCUGUCAGCAGGGAAGAAGAAAGACGGUACCUGACCAAGAAGCCCCGGCUAACUACGUGCCAGCAGCCGCGGUAAUACGGAGGAUGCGAGCGUUAUCCGGAUUUAUUGGGUUUAAAGGGUGCGUAGGCGGCAAUACAAGUCGGAAGUGAAAUACCCGGGCUCAACCUGGGAACUGCUUUGGAAACUGUAUGGCUAGAGUGCUGGAGAGGUAAGCGGAAUUCCUAGUGUAGCGGUGAAAUGCGUAGAUAUUAGGAGGAACACCAGUGGCGAAGGCGGCUUACUGGACAGUAACUGACGUUGAGGCUCGAAAGCGUGGGGAGCAAACAGGAUUAGAUACCCUGGUAGUC